This 72-nucleotide transfer RNA is filed under the name Myxococcales bacterium. Its description in RNAcentral is "tRNA-Thr". It matches the Rfam family "tRNA". Rfam says of the family: Transfer RNA (tRNA) molecules are approximately 80 nucleotides in length. Their secondary structure includes four short double-helical elements and three loops (D, anti-codon, and T loops). Further hydrogen bonds mediate the characteristic L-shaped molecular structure. tRNAs have two regions of fundamental functional importance: the anti-codon, which is responsible for specific mRNA codon recognition, and the 3' end, to which the tRNAs corresponding amino acid is attached (by aminoacyl-tRNA synthetases). tRNAs cope with the degeneracy of the genetic code in two manners: having more than one tRNA (with a specific anti-codon) for a particular amino acid; and 'wobble' base-pairing, i.e. permitting non-standard base-pairing at the 3rd anti-codon position. The record is from RNAcentral. Lineage: Bacteria; Pseudomonadati; Myxococcota; Myxococcia; Myxococcales.
CAUGGAGUAGCUCAGCGGCAGAGCGCCUGGCUUGUUACCGGGAGGGCGCAGGUUCGACCCCUGCCUUCAUGC